Molecule: small RNA, 567 nt
Filed under: Pongo abelii (Sumatran orangutan)
Lineage: Eukaryota; Metazoa; Chordata; Mammalia; Primates; Hominidae
Description: processed transcript
Source: RNAcentral
GAAUUUUUGGGGGGGUGGGUGGGGGGCGCCACUCACAGCCCCAGGUGCUGCUGGAGGUGGGAGCCGCGGCGCCUCCUGGACACAGGCGGGGUAGUGGUUCCGAGUCACCGCAGCGGGAGACCUGGGUGGGGGAGGGAAGAAGCCGGAGCCGCCGCAAGCCACACGAAUUUUUAUUUGUUCCCGCAAAGCUGCUGAAGCUCAGAAGCUGAUUCUAUCACAUUGUAAGAUGCCUUUGGAUAAUUCUACAGUCCUCUUAAAUGAAUCUUUAGAACUUGGCGCGUUUCACUAGAUACCUUCAAUCAUCAUUUUGAGCUCAAAGAAUUCUGAGACUUAUGGUUGGUCAUAUAGAAGAUUACCUUGAACCUAUAGUUUCCUGAGGAAUCAGUUUAAAAGAUCCAAAGAGUACAAAAGGCAGUUAUUGGAGGAAUUACUCAACAAAAAUAAAGAAGUAAACUAAAAAAGAUGAAGGCAUAGGAUACAAGUAACAGGGAAUAUGACCUAACUAGAGACCCAGGGAAUCACCAGGAUGAUGAUGAAUAAUGAUCACAAGAAGACAGCUGGUCCUCA